UUGGUGCCGUUCGGGAACUCUGACACAGGUGCUGCAUGGCUGUCGUCAGCUCGUGUCGUGAGAUGGUUGGGUUAACGUCCCGUAACGAGCGCAACCCUUGUCCUUAGUUACCAGCACGUUAUGGUGGGCACUCUAAGGAGACUGCCGGUGACAACCGGAGGAAGGUGGGGAUGACGUCAAGUCAUCAUGGCCCUUACGGCCUGGGCUACACACGUGCUACAAUGGUCGGUACAAAGGGUUGCCAAGCCGCGAGGUGGAGCUAAUCCCAUAAAACCGAUCGUAGUCCGGAUCGCAGUCUGCAACUCGACUGCGUGAAGUCGGAAUCGCUAGUAAUCGUGAAUCAGAAUGUCACGGUGAAUACGUUCCCGGGCCUU
RNAcentral lists this ribosomal RNA (374 nucleotides) under uncultured Pseudomonas sp. RNAcentral describes it as "bacterial SSU rRNA". It matches the Rfam family "Bacterial small subunit ribosomal RNA", at positions 1011 to 1382 of the family's 1533-position model. Lineage: Bacteria; Pseudomonadati; Pseudomonadota; Gammaproteobacteria; Pseudomonadales; Pseudomonadaceae. The record is from RNAcentral.